RNAcentral lists this ribosomal RNA (433 nucleotides) under Pantoea sp. F105. RNAcentral describes it as "bacterial SSU rRNA". It matches the Rfam family "Bacterial small subunit ribosomal RNA", at positions 117 to 546 of the family's 1533-position model. The record is from RNAcentral. Lineage: Bacteria; Pseudomonadati; Pseudomonadota; Gammaproteobacteria; Enterobacterales; Erwiniaceae.
CUGGGGAUCUGCCCGAUAGAGGGGGAUAACCACUGGAAACGGUGGCUAAUACCGCAUAACGUCGCAAGACCAAAGAGGGGGACCUUCGGGCCUCUCACUAUCAGAUGAACCCAUAUGGGAUUAGCUAGUAGGCGGGGUAAUGGCCCACCUACGCGACUAUCCCUAUCUGGUCUGAGAGGAUGACCACCCACACUGGAACUGACACACGGUCCACACUCCUACGGGAGGCAGCAGUGGGGAAUAUUGCACAAUGGGCGCAAGCCUGAUGCACCCAUGCCGCGUGUAUGAAGAAGGCCUUCGGGUUGUAAAGUACUUUCAGCGGGGAAGAAGGCGGUGCGGUUAAUAACCGCGUCUAUUGACGUUACCCGCAAAAAAAGCACCGGCUAACUCCGUGCCAGCACCCGCGGUAAUACAGAGGGUGCAAGCGUUAAUC